CUAAAGCAUUUCUGACUGCUAUGCUACCAUGAUGUAUCUUGCUUACCUUCUGUAGAUGCAGCCCGACCUGCUGAAUUCCACUUGCAGCUCUUUUUUGCUCCAGUGUCUGCAAUCUCUUGUGUCUCCAUCUAAAGUUCUUACAUGAUAUCUUGAAGAUGACCAAUCAUCAUGAUGAAAUAAAGAUCUAGUCUGUCAUCUAUCCUUGGAUCGUACUCCAUGAGAUG
This is a long non-coding RNA of Mobula hypostoma (lesser devil ray), 224 nucleotides long. RefSeq lists it as uncharacterized. The record is from RefSeq and is a predicted model, not a curated record. The transcript is spliced from 3 exons. Lineage: Eukaryota; Metazoa; Chordata; Chondrichthyes; Myliobatiformes; Myliobatidae.